CAAUGUUGAGGUUGAUUUCUCUUUCUUUGUCUUUCCUCUGGGGACUGCAUGUAAGGUUUGAAGCAAGGGAUAUUGUUCUUGGUAAAGGGAUUUCUCUGCUAACCUUUUAAUAGCUCUCCACCUUGUACUCUUGUCUUCAGUGUCCAGUUGCUCCAUUGCAGUAGAAUUCUUCAUGAAUGAUCAGAGGCUGUAAGAAGACAAUGUUUUGGCUUCUAAGCAAGAGACUGCCUUCAAGGACCUACAUGUUUUCUGGUAGCUGAAUCUUAAUCAGGGCUCUGCUGGUGUGGAACUGUGGAGUCACAAAGAAGUGCAAUGGUUAAGUAGCCAUGAACAGACAUUUUUGUCUGAAUUGCUCCUUAAAUUUAAUAGCCAGUUUGUCACGACGUCUGCACUUCCCACAAAUUCUGCUCACUUAAAUCUCCUUUCAUAGGAAGUGCAGUAUGGACUCUGACAUGAUGCAUCUGCCUGUGCUCAUUAGCACAAUCCUUAUUUAUUUAUUUAAUUUAUUUAUUUUAUUUUUUUCUUAGGAUCAACAAGUUCUGGAGCAAACUGCAGUGCUGAAGCAUGUCACUUAGGUGAUAUAUAUGGACUGGGCAACGUGAACUGCCAGACUGAUGUAGAGUUUAGAUCCUGAUGCUGCUCUUCCCUGCUCUAAUAUGAGGAUCUGAAGCACAGAGAGACUAAAUAACUUGCCCAAGGUCAACAGGAAGUCUGUGACAGAGCAAAGCUGGGUCUCCCAAGUUUUGGGCUAGUGCCCUAAUAAUUGGACCAGCCUUCUUCUCUAACCAUGGCAGAAUCCUGCUUCUGUACCACAUUUGUUUCAUCCAUAGA
Long non-coding RNA from Dermochelys coriacea (leatherback sea turtle), 831 nucleotides. RefSeq lists it as uncharacterized. The transcript has 3 exons. The record is from RefSeq and is a predicted model, not a curated record. NCBI's taxonomy places the organism in Eukaryota, Metazoa, Chordata, Testudines, Dermochelyidae.